This 274-nucleotide ribosomal RNA is filed under the name uncultured Rothia sp. Its description in RNAcentral is "partial 16S ribosomal RNA". It matches the Rfam family "Bacterial small subunit ribosomal RNA", at positions 524 to 796 of the family's 1533-position model. The record is from RNAcentral. Lineage: Bacteria; Bacillati; Actinomycetota; Actinomycetes; Micrococcales; Micrococcaceae.
UACGUAGGGUGCGAGCGUUGUCCGGAAUUAUUGGGCGUAAAGAGCUUGUAGGCGGUUUGUCGCGUCUGCUGUGAAAGGCCGGGGCUUAACCCCGUGUAUUGCAGUGGGUACGGGCAGACUAGAGUGCAGUAGGGGAGACUGGAACUCCUGGUGUAGCGGUGGAAUGCGCAGAUAUCAGGAAGAACACCGAUGGCGAAGGCAGGUCUCUGGGCUGUAACUGACGCUGAGAAGCGAAAGCAUGGGGAGCGAACAGGAUUAGAAACCCGUGUAGUCC